Aegilops tauschii subsp. strangulata is the source of this 1501-nucleotide long non-coding RNA. RefSeq lists it as uncharacterized. Lineage: Eukaryota; Viridiplantae; Streptophyta; Magnoliopsida; Poales; Poaceae. The record is from RefSeq and is a predicted model, not a curated record.
CAAGUUUGACGACGAUGAUGAUUGGAACCAAGAGGAGGAAGUACGUAAGUUUCCAUCUAUUCAUAUGGAUGUUAUCCUCGAUGUACUGUGACCAAAUAUGUAAUGCCUGGUUUGGUUUAAUUAUUUUCUUGUGUAUCACUAGAUAAUCAGUUAACAAGUGUUGGCCAUGGUGCAUUGAUCUUAUUUAGUUGUGGUUUUGUAUGCCUCCCCCAGCUGCCGCUAAAACCCACCAAAGAAUUAGCAAGAAAAUUGAUGGUGGGAGCUAGCAAUGCCGGCAGUGCCUCCUUUAGGAUUACAAAAUCGUUAAUCCUAUCUUCGCUUGCAUGUGACUGAUGGUGAUGCUACACAAGUUCUGAAGGCAGUGCCCUCCCCUUCAGCAGGAGAUCUUGCUGGUUCUGCAUGGCACAACUGGAUUAAAUAUGCUACAGCAAGCGAAGGAGUUCAACGAUGUUGUUGGAAUCAAAGGAUUCAUCCUAACGAAAUUAGACAGGACUGCUCGUGUUGGCUGUGUGGUGAGUGUUAAUAGACGAACUUGGAGUUCCAGCCAAGUUUGUUGGCGUCGGCAAAGGGGUGAAGAUCUCCAACCUUUUGAUGCAGAAGCAUUUGUUGAAGCCAUUUUCCCAUAAAUUUGACCCAGUUAUUAGCGUUUCUCAUGUAACAAGAUUUUGGCUAACAUGCUACUCCCUCCGUUUCUAAAUAUAUGUCUUUUUAGGAAUUCUAAUAUGGACUACAUAAGAAGAAAAAUGAGUGAAUCUACACUCUAGAAUAUGUCUACAUUCAUCCGCAUGUAGUCCAUAUUCAAAUCACUAAAAAAACCUAUAUUUAGGAAUGGAGGGAGUAGAACUUGGUAGAAGCAAUUAUUUCAACAAUUACAGUUUUUUUUGGUUCAGUCGUCGACUCAUCUGCCUGACUUGUUUCUGUUGUUGAUCCUAACUAUUCAUACAGAAACAGAAGCAAGUAUUUGUGAUAUUAUAUGUUUAUUGUGAUUAAGCUCAAGGCACGUUGCAGAUACAUUGAGCAAGAGUACUAACAGAGAAGAGGAAUUUUUCUUUUCAGACUAGCAUGAUACAAGAAUAUUUCAUUAAUAGUCAUACAUUCAUAACAUAUAUCUUGAAUCAUAAAUACUUCCACGUUCGAUUUUGAGUCCUAAGAAAAAAGAUCCUCAUGUGAAACUUCUUAAGAUGAAAGUACUUCCAUGUUGGAUCUUUUUUCUUAAUUAGGUGAUAUCAUUUGAUACCAUGCUUGAUUUGUACUACUACUUAAAAAUUAGCUUUCUUGCAGUCGUGGUUGAUUUGCAGGUGCAGUCAACUGAGACAUGGACUCUCGAUUGAACAAUAAUUUUGUGCAACUAUGUCAACAUCUAGACCAUACAUUUUUAACAGGUCAUGAAGAGCAUCACGUGUGCUAUUUUCUGGCAUAAAGCCUGAUCUUAAUGCUCAUAAAACAAAAAAGAAAGACUGUACAUAUAGAAAAUGGAUAUAUACAAACAUGAAAAAAAUAU